RNAcentral lists this non-coding RNA (45 nucleotides) under Schistosoma mansoni. The record is from RNAcentral. Lineage: Eukaryota; Metazoa; Platyhelminthes; Trematoda; Strigeidida; Schistosomatidae.
AUCCAGCUGACGAGUCCCGAACAGGACAAAACUCGCAUCUUGGAU